UCAAUUGGGAGGAGUGGACCUGCAGGAUCUGCAGGGAUGUGACUGAAUUGCCUUCAGGCUGAAAAGGAAGCUGCACACACAGUUCACAUUUCCUAGGUUUCUCAACAAAUCAAAGCAAGGAAGAAGCAAUGAAGCUGUGCUGGGAAUAGUGCUGAUGCUGACAUGUUUUGCAACAGCAAUCCCUUGUAAAUGAAGGUCCCACUUGACACCUCAGGCAACAGGGCAGGAGGCAUGCUGCUACAUACAUUCAUGCACCUGUAUUUAAUGCACCAAGCCUGUCACACAAGCCCCCUCACCUGGGUGUCAACUAGCCCUGACCAGCAUGCAGCAGAUAAAUCCUCAGGGAGAUGGGCUUCUUGCCUGCCUGUGCUGUCUUGUUCAGCAAAGAGGCAGACAGCACAUGCCCACCACCACCAUCUGGAAGGAGAUACUUUUCCUAGAGGGGAGCCCUGACCCUCCAGUCCAAGGGCUCUCCCUUGUCUCUCACAGAUCGCUGCUUGGAGGAUACAAGAAUACCGUCAAGGAAAUUAUAGUGUGCAGAAGGUGGCCCUAAGUAGACUGAUCCUGGACUCAUUUUUAUAGUAUCUCUAAGUUUCCAGAUGCCGAUUUUCCUUGUCUUUACCUUUUCUUUGCCCUUGUGAGGAGCUCCAUCCCUCUCUCUUUCUGCUCUGCUCUGAGCCAGCAGGAUUAACUAACACUGGACGAAUGAGAAAAGCCAGCUGUGGUGAGAUCCUAAUCUCACCCUUUCCAGGGGCUAGUUCAUUCCCAGUGGACUCAUAAAUUUUUGGAAACCUAACUUUCCAGCUGAGUGUGGCUAAACAUCAGUGGUAGAUAUUCUUCUGUUAUUGUUGGGAGGGGGAGGUUUCUGUUGUGAUUUUGUUUUGGUUUGGGUUUUUUUGGGUUUUAAAAUAUAUAUAUGAAAUAUAAAUCUGAGGUGACAAAGGGGCUGGGUAUAGUUUUGUUUAUAUUUUUUAAAUUUGUGUGUAUUUUUAAAAUUCCUGUUGCAUAAAAGAAAAAUAUUUUUCUCUAAAUCUGGUAUGUGCUGAAUGGUUUUUGUGAGAUUGCUUAUGAACUUUGAUUAUACAA
Molecule: long non-coding RNA, 1086 nt
Organism: Oenanthe melanoleuca
Lineage: Eukaryota; Metazoa; Chordata; Aves; Passeriformes; Muscicapidae
Exons: 3
Source: RefSeq, a predicted model, not a curated record